AACGAACGCUGGCGGCAUGCCUAACACAUGCAAGUCGGACGAGACCUUCGGGUCUAGUGGCGCACGGGUGCGUAACGCGUGGGAACCUGCCCUUAGGUUCGGAAUAACUCCCCGAAAGGGGUGCUAAUACCGGAUAAUGUCUUCGGACCAAAGAUUUAUCGCCUUUGGAUGGGCCCGCGUUGGAUUAGCUAGUUGGUAGGGUAAAAGCCUACCAAGGCGACGAUCCAUAGCUGGUCUGAGAGGAUGAUCAGCCACACUGGGACUGAGACACGGCCCAGACUCCUACGGGAGGCAGCAGUGGGGAAUAUUGGACAAUGGGCGAAAGCAUGAUACAGCAAUGCCGCGUGAGUGAUGAAGGCCUUAGGGUUGUAAAGCUCUUUUACACGGGAUGAUAAUGACAGUACCGGGAGAAUAAGCUCCGGCUAACUCCGUG
RNAcentral lists this ribosomal RNA (433 nucleotides) under uncultured bacterium. RNAcentral's name for it is "partial 16S ribosomal RNA". It matches the Rfam family "Bacterial small subunit ribosomal RNA", at positions 29 to 507 of the family's 1533-position model. The record is from RNAcentral.